This 1006-nucleotide ribosomal RNA is filed under the name Bacillus sp. (in: firmicutes). RNAcentral describes it as "bacterial SSU rRNA". It matches the Rfam family "Bacterial small subunit ribosomal RNA", at positions 530 to 1533 of the family's 1533-position model. Lineage: Bacteria; Bacillati; Bacillota; Bacilli; Caryophanales; Bacillaceae. The record is from RNAcentral.
GAGGGGGACCGUUUGCUCGGAUGAUUGGGCGUAAGGGCUCGCAGGCGGUUUCUUAAGUCUGAUGUGAAAGCCCCCGGCUCAACCGGGGAGGGUCAUUGGAAACUGGGAAACUUGAGUGCAGAAGAGGAGAGUGGAAUUCCACGUGUAGCGGUGAAAUGCGUAGAGAUGUGGAGGAACACCAGUGGCGAAGGCGACUCUCUGGUCUGUAACUGACGCUGAGGAGCGAAAGCGUGGGGAGCGAACAGGAUUAGAUACCCUGGUAGUCCACGCCGUAAACGAUGAGUGCUAAGUGUUAGGGGGUUUCCGCCCCUUAGUGCUGCAGCUAACGCAUUAAGCACUCCGCCUGGGGAGUACGGUCGCAAGACUGAAACUCAAAGGAAUUGACGGGGGCCCGCACAAGCGGUGGAGCAUGUGGUUUAAUUCGAAGCAACGCGAAGAACCUUACCAGGUCUUGACAUCCUCUGACAACCCUAGAGAUAGGGCUUUCCCUUCGGGGACAGAGUGACAGGUGGUGCAUGGUUGUCGUCAGCUCGUGUCGUGAGAUGUUGGGUUAAGUCCCGCAACGAGCGCAACCCUUGAUCUUAGUUGCCAGCAUUCAGUUGGGCACUCUAAGGUGACUGCCGGUGACAAACCGGAGGAAGGUGGGGAUGACGUCAAAUCAUCAUGCCCCUUAUGACCUGGGCUACACACGUGCUACAAUGGACAGAACAAAGGGCUGCGAGACCGCAAGGUUUAGCCAAUCCCACAAAUCUGUUCUCAGUUCGGAUCGCAGUCUGCAACUCGACUGCGUGAAGCUGGAAUCGCUAGUAAUCGCGGAUCAGCAUGCCGCGGGUGAAAUACGUUCCCGGGGCCUUGUACACACCGCCCGUCACACCACGAGAGUUUGCAACACCCGAAGUCGGUGAGGUAACCUUUAUGGAGCCAGCCGCCGAAGGUGGGGCAGAUGAUUGGGGUGAUUAGAAAGAAAACCCACAAAAAAAAAAAAAAAAGGGAGGGGUCCCCCCAA